GUUGUCAGUUUGGUUCCCAAGUACUCAGGAGCGCCUGUGGGGAAGU
This 46-nucleotide non-coding RNA is filed under the name Actinoplanes sp. SE50/110. The record is from RNAcentral. Lineage: Bacteria; Bacillati; Actinomycetota; Actinomycetes; Micromonosporales; Micromonosporaceae.